RNAcentral lists this ribosomal RNA (292 nucleotides) under uncultured bacterium. Its description in RNAcentral is "partial 16S ribosomal RNA". It matches the Rfam family "Bacterial small subunit ribosomal RNA", at positions 505 to 796 of the family's 1533-position model. The record is from RNAcentral.
GUGUCAGCAGCCGCGGUAAAACGUAGGAGGCGAGCGUUAUCCGGAUUUACUGGGUGUAAAGCGCGAGCAGGCGGCCGUGUAAGUGGUGUGUGAAAGCGCCCGGCUCAACCGGGCGAGGACGGACCAGACUGCACGGCUGGAGGCAGGGAGAGGCAGACGGAAUUCCGGGUGUAGUGGUGAAAUGCGUAGAGAUCCGGAGGAACACCAGUGGCGAAGGCGGUCUGCUAGGCCUGACCUGACGCUCAGGCGCGAAAGCAUGGGGAGCAAACGGGAUUAGAAACCCCGGUAGUCC